GAUGAAGAACGUAGCGAAAUGCGAUACUUGGUGUGAAUUGCAGAAUCCCGUGAACCAUCGAGUCUUUGAACGCAAGUUGCGCCUGAAGCCAUUAGGCCGAGGGCACGCCUGCCUGGGCGUCACACGUCGUUGCCCCCCCAUCUACUCCUUCGGGAUUGCGGGGGGCGGAUGAUGGCCUCCCGUGCGCCUCGCCGCGCGGUUGGCAUAAAUGCCAAGUCCUCGGCGACGCACGCCACGACAAUCGGUGGUUGCGAAACCUCGGUUGCCCGUCGUGUGCGGUCGUCGCGCAUCGAGGGCUCGAAAAAAUUGCCGGGUUCCGGCUCGGCUUUCAACGCGACCCCAGGUCAGGCGGGGUUACCCGCUGAAUUUAAGCAUAUCAAUAAGCGGAGGA
RNAcentral lists this unclassified non-coding RNA (391 nucleotides) under soil metagenome. Its description in RNAcentral is "partial contains 5.8S ribosomal RNA, internal transcribed spacer 2, and large subunit ribosomal RNA". The stretch from base 1 to 122 matches the Rfam family "5.8S ribosomal RNA", at positions 35 to 154 of the family's 154-position model. The record is from RNAcentral.